Molecule: non-coding RNA, 27 nt
Filed under: Rattus norvegicus (Norway rat)
Lineage: Eukaryota; Metazoa; Chordata; Mammalia; Rodentia; Muridae
Source: RNAcentral
UGGGUUCUCUCCUUCAGAUGUCUUAGC